GAUGAACGCUAGCGACAGGCCUAACACAUGCAAGUCGAGGGGCAGCGGGGAGCUGAGCUUGCUCAGCUCUGCCGGCGACCGGCGCACGGGUGAGUAACGCGUAUGCAACCUGCCCUUUCCAGGGGGAUAACCCGGAGAAAUCCGGACUAAUAUCCCAUGGUUCCUGCUGGAGGCAUCUCCGACAGGAUAAAGGACUUGACCGGGAAAGGAUGGGCAUGCGUGACAUUAGCUAGACGGCGGGGCAACGGCCCACCGUGGCGACGAUGCCUAGGGGUUCUGAGAGGAAGACCCCCCACACUGGGACUGAGACACGGCCCAG
RNAcentral lists this ribosomal RNA (319 nucleotides) under uncultured bacterium. RNAcentral's name for it is "bacterial SSU rRNA". It matches the Rfam family "Bacterial small subunit ribosomal RNA", at positions 28 to 334 of the family's 1533-position model. The record is from RNAcentral.